AUUGAACGCUGGCGGCAUGCCUUACACAUGCAAGUCGAACGGUAACGGGCCUUCGGGUGCCGACGGGUGGCGAACGGGUGAGUAAUACAUCGGAACGUGCCCGAUCGUGGGGGAUAACGAGGCGAAAGCUUUGCUAAUACCGCAUACGAUCUACGGAUGAAAGCAGGGGACCGCAAGGCCUUGCGCGGACGGAGCGGCCGAUGGCAGAUUAGGUAGUUGGUGGGAUAAAAGCUUACCAAGCCGACGAUCUGUAGCUGGUCUGAGAGGAUGAUCAGCCACACUGGGACUGAGACACGGCCCAGACUCCUACGGGAGGCAGCAGUGGGGAAUUUUGGACAAUGGGCGCAAGCCUGAUCCAGCCAUGCCGCGUGCAGGAUGAAGGCCUUCGGGUUGUAAACUGCUUUUGUACGGAACGAAAAGCCUUCUUUUAAUACAGGAGGGUCAUGACGGUACCGUAAGAAUAAGCACCGGCUAACUACGUG
This 482-nucleotide ribosomal RNA is filed under the name uncultured bacterium. Its description in RNAcentral is "partial 16S ribosomal RNA". It matches the Rfam family "Bacterial small subunit ribosomal RNA", at positions 30 to 507 of the family's 1533-position model. The record is from RNAcentral.